AGAGUUUGAUCAUGGCUCAGAAUCAACGCUGGCGGCGCGCCUAACACAUGCAAGUCGCACGAGAAAGUGGAGCAAUCCAUGAGUACAGUGGCGUACGGGUGAGUAACACGUGGAUCAUCUGCCCUGGAGUGGGGAAUAACGCUGGGAAACCGGCGCUAAUACCGCAUAUUCCCGAGAGGGGAAAGCAGCAAUGCGCUCGAGGAGGAGUCCGCGGCCGAUUAGCUAGUUGGUAGGGUAAAAGCCUACCAAGGCUGUGAUCGGUAGCCGGCCUGAGAGGGCACACGGCCACACUGGCACUGAAACACGGGCCAGACUCCUACGGGAGGCAGCAGUGGGGAAUCUUGCACAAUGGGGGAAACCCUGAUGCAGCGACGCCGCGUGAGCGAUGAAGCCCUUCGGGGUGUAAAGCUCUUUCGGCAGGGACGAUUAUGACGGUACCUGCAGAAGCAGCUGCGGCUAACUACGUGCCAGCAGCCGCGGUAAUACGUAGGCAGCAAGCGUUGUUCGGAGUUACUGGGCGUAAAGGGUGUGUAGGCGGCCCGUUAAGUUCCGUGUGAAAUCUCCCGGCUCAACCGGGAGGGUGCGCGGAAAACUGGCGGGCUAGAGUACGGGAUGGGAGAGUAGAAUUCCUGGUGUAGCGGUGAAAUGCGUAGAUAUCAGGAGGAAUACCGGUGGUGUAGACGGCUCUCUGGACCGUAACUGACGCUGAAACACGAAAGCGUGGGUAGCAAACAGGAUUAGAUACCCUGGUAGUCCACGCCCUAAACGAUGCAUAUUUGGUGUAGGCAGUUCAUUCUGUCUGUGCCGGAGCUAACGCGUUAAAUAUGCCGCCUGGGGAGUACAGUCGCAAGGCUGAAACUCAAAGGAAUUGACGGGGCCCGCACAAGCGU
Molecule: ribosomal RNA, 890 nt
Filed under: uncultured bacterium
Lineage: Bacteria
Description: bacterial SSU rRNA
Rfam family: Bacterial small subunit ribosomal RNA
Source: RNAcentral